RNAcentral lists this ribosomal RNA (1432 nucleotides) under metagenome. RNAcentral describes it as "bacterial SSU rRNA". It matches the Rfam family "Bacterial small subunit ribosomal RNA". The record is from RNAcentral.
AGAGUUUGAUCCCGGCUCAGAAUCAACGCUGGCGGCGCGCUUAACACAUGCGAGUCGAACGAGAAAGGGAGCAAUCCUGAGUAAAGUGGCGUACUGGUGAGUAACACGUGGAUAUCUACCUCCUGGUGGGGAAUAACCUGGGGAAACCUGGGCUAAUACCGCAUAAGUUCGAGAGAAGAAAGGCGCAAGUCGCCGGGAGAGGAGUCCGCGGUCGAUUAGGUAGUUGGCGGGGUAAAAGCCCACCAAGCCAAAGAUCGAUAGCCGGCCUGAGAGGGCACACGGCCACACUGGCACUGAAACACGGGCCAGACUCCUACGGGAGGCAGCAGUGGGGAAUCUUGCACAAUGGGGGAAACCCUGAUGCAGCGACGCCGCGUGAGCGAUGAAGCCCUUCGGGGUGUAAAGCUCUUUCGGCAGGAACGAUAAUGACGGUACCUGCAGAAGAAGCUGCGGCUAACUACGUGCCAGCAGCCGCGGUAAUACGUAGGCAGCGAGCGUUGUUCGGAAUUACUGGGCGUAAAGAGUGUGUAGGUGGUGUCGUAAGUUUGGUGUGAAAUCUCCCGGCUUAACUGGGAGGGUGCGCCGAAGACUGCGAGGCUGGAGUAUGGGAGAGGAAAGCGGAAUUCCUGGUGUAGCGGUGAAAUGCGUAGAUAUCAGGAGGAACACCUGCGGUGUAGACGGCUUUCUGGACCAUUACUGACACUGAGACACGAAAGCGUGGGUAGCAAACAGGAUUAGAUACCCUGGUAGUCCACGCCGUAAACGAUGAUUGCUAGUUGUCGGGAAGCUUGCUUCUCGGUGACGCAGCUAACGCAUUAAGCAAUCCGCCUGGGGAGUACGGUCGCAAGGUUAAGACUCAAAGGAAUUGACGGGGGCCCGCACAAGCGGUGGAGCAUAUGGUUUAAUUCGAAGCAACGCGCAGAACCUUACCACCUUUUGACAUGCCUGGACCGCCAGAGAGAUCUGGCUUUCCCUUCGGGGACUAGGACACAGGUGCUGCAUGGCUGUCGUCAGCUCGUGUCGUGAGAUGUUGGGUUAAGUCCCGCAACGAGCGCAACCCUCGCCAUUAGUUGCCAUCAUUUAGUUGGGAACUCUAAUGGGACUGCCGGUGCUAAGCCGGAGGAAGGUGGGGAUGACGUCAAGUCCUCAUGGCCCUUACAGGGUGGGCUACACACGUGCUACAAUGGCGACUACAGAGGGUUAAUCCUUAAAAGUCGUCUCAGUUCGGAUUGUCCUCUGCAACUCGAGGGCAUGAAGUUGGAAUCGCUAGUAAUCGCGGAUCAGCAUGCCGCGGUGAAUACGUUCCCGGGCCUUGUACACACCGCCCGUCACACCAUGGGAGUUGGUUCUACCCGAAGGCGAUGCGCUAACCCGCAAGGGAGGCAGUCGACCACGGUAGGGUCAGCGACUGGGGUGAAGUCGUAACAAGGUA